This is a non-coding RNA of Bombyx mori (domestic silkworm), 67 nucleotides long. The record is from Rfam. Lineage: Eukaryota; Metazoa; Arthropoda; Insecta; Lepidoptera; Bombycidae.
ACAACAUUCGGACCGUCGGUCUACCGAGUAAUAUCACCCGCUCGGUGGAAGAUCUUCCCUUUGUCGU